Ctenopharyngodon idella (grass carp) is the source of this 2246-nucleotide long non-coding RNA. RefSeq lists it as uncharacterized. NCBI's taxonomy places the organism in Eukaryota, Metazoa, Chordata, Actinopteri, Cypriniformes, Xenocyprididae. The record is from RefSeq and is a predicted model, not a curated record. The transcript is spliced from 7 exons.
AGGAAUUACUUGAUAUGAAACUGUUUAUGUUGGACCUUAUAUGCCUUUGUAUUGAUAAUGUUCUCAUUUGUCAUCCCUACAUGACCUGAAUAAUGACAUUGAGGUUGUUAUGAAAUACUUGGUCUGAGGAUAAAUAAAAUUAGACUGCAAAUCUGUACUAAAUCACUAUCAAUAUAUUUUGGAAUAUAAUUAAAAAUGAAUGGUAACAUAUUAGAGUUGAAUUAGAGCAAAAUUGUGAAUAUUAAAUCAGCUACCUUUGUUUCCUCUUUUGUAUUAUGCAGAUUUACAGAUCUUAUAAUGUCAGCCCUGAAUCAAGAGAGAGAGAGAGAGUUUUUGACAUUUUUGUAUUUUUUAUUUUUAUUAUUUCCAAUGGUUAAAUGACAAGCUUAAGUGCAGCCAAAAAUGAAAUUUAAUUUAUCAUAAUUUAUUAUUAAUUUAUCAUUAUCAUUUUUCAUAAUUUACCAUCUCUGUCAUGCCAUUCCAAAUGAUUUUCUUUCUUCUGUGGAACAGAAAAGAAGAUAUUCUUAAAAAUAUUUCAACUUUUUUUUUUUUUUUUUUUUGUCUACAUGGGGUCAAAAAUAACAUUGCAUGGACAACAAAACAAAACAAAACAAAACAAAAAAAAACGGAGAAUUUUAAUUGUCAUAUUUGUGUGAACUAUUCUAGCAUGCAGUUAAUUCAUAUUUACUAUCUUGACAUUGCACAUAUGUAGCUAUCUGAAGUGCAGUGUGGAGAAAUGGUGUGGCCGUUGAGCAUUGGCCGUUCUUACACCACGCUGCUCUUUUCAUCUCACACCAUGUAGUUAGAUAAAAACAGCAUCCAGAAUAACAGCAGACUGUCAAAAAGAGUAGAGUUAACUGACAAGAACAACUUCUUAGCUUGCACUGAUUGCUACACAGAGAAACAAACUAAUCUAAUAAUUGUAGAUAAUACGAAUAUACUGUGUGUACCUGCUGAAACAUAAGCAGUCUAAGUGCUACUUUACAGCUUGUUUGCUUAAAGCUUUAUUACCUGCAUAGUAAAAGUUACCUUAACUUAGAGCUUUCUAAUAAGUUAUAGAAGUGUAAUUUACAACAUAAAGAGAUCUACUAUUUCAGUGUAUGCUUUGCAACAGUGAUUUCUAAGUGCUAGGAAGGUCCACCCACUGGUGAGGUUUUUUUUUUCUUACUAAAAAGUAAAUGAAACUCGUGUACUGGCAUCUUUUGGCGUUAAGAUUGUGACCGUUAAAGGUGACGUUAAAAGGUGCAUCAGAGCCUUGAAAACAUUAACAUGAGUACCUGGAUGUGCUGUUGGAUUUUGUGUUUUUGCAUUUCAGCUUUAAAACCUACUUACUCGUUCAUCCUGACUCAGUCACCGAGCCUCACACACGUCUCAGUCGGUGGCACUGUAAAAUUAACAUGUACAUUUGAACAGAAAGUUUCUUACUGCUAUACUGCUGCAACAUGGCAAAAGUUGAACCUACGGACUGGUAAACUCACAGCAGCGAGGUCUAUCUCUCAGUCUGAUUUUCUUCAACAUGAUGAUAAAACUUGCGUUGUUAGUUUUACAAAUGUAACACCGAAAGAUUCAGGUUUGUACUAUUGCAUUAGCCAUCAUAACUCAAUGGCUGUUAUCGGCAGUGGAAGCAGGGUGAUCGUAACAGAUCACUCUGUUGAGGAACCAAAACUAUCCAUCUUAUACCCACCACAAGAACCUGACUCAUCAUCAGUAGCACUGCAGUGUCUUGUGACCGGAGUCGUCCCAUCUCAAGUGCGGGUGUUCUGGAUGAUUGGAGAGAAAGAGCAUGUUGGAUGGACCGAAUCAGCCUGGACAGACGCCACUGAUUCAGCCAAAGAAUUCACACGUGCUCAUCUCUCUAUUCCUGCAGUGGAGUGGACUGAAGAUGAUGAAAUCCAAUGCUUUGCCGAAUAUAAUGGCAAGAACAUCUCCAAAACUCUGAAGCGAUAUGGAUUGAAUCAAAGAACUAUCUGGCCUCUGUACUGUGGUUUUAUGGCAGCAUUCCUGACUAUAGCUGUGGCCUUCUCUAUUUGUUCAUGUCAAGGUAGACAGAGUGCAGUGACUGCAGAAAUGUCAUCUGUAAUGUUUUACCCUGUGGACCCCAUCAAUUUAGGACAGAAUUUAAGUCCAACAAAAAAAUAAUGGGCAUUAAUCGAGAUCAAAAAUUGAAAAGAAUGUUUGUGUAUGCCAAACCAUUAUUGAAAUGAAAGUUAAUUCAAAUAAAUUUGCAUCCUUCUAAUGGUUUAUGA